GACGAACGCUGGCGGCGUGCCUAAUACAUGCAAGUAGAACGCUGAAGGAGGAGCUUGCUUCUCUGGAUGAGUUGCGAACGGGUGAGUAACGCGUAGGUAACCUGCCUGGUAGCGGGGGAUAACUAUUGGAAACGAUAGCUAAUACCGCAUAAUAGUAGAUGUUGCAUGACAUUUGCUUAAAAGGUGCAAUUGCAUCACUACCAGAUGGACCUGCGUUGUAUUAGCUAGUUGGUGAGGUAACGGCUCACCAAGGCGACGAUACAUAGCCGACCUGAGAGGGUGAUCGGCCACACUGGGACUGAGACACGGCCCAGACUCCUACGGGAGGCAGCAGUAGGAAAUCUUCGGCAAUGGACGGAAGUCUGACCGAGCAACGCCGCGUGAGUGAAGAAGGUUUUCGGAUCGUAAAGCUCUGUUGUAAGAGAAGAACGAGUGUGAGAGUGGAAAGUUCACACUGUGACGGUACCUUACCAGAAAGGGACGGCUAACUACGU
This 494-nucleotide ribosomal RNA is filed under the name uncultured bacterium. RNAcentral describes it as "partial 16S ribosomal RNA". It matches the Rfam family "Bacterial small subunit ribosomal RNA", at positions 28 to 506 of the family's 1533-position model. The record is from RNAcentral.